RNAcentral lists this ribosomal RNA (453 nucleotides) under Lactococcus lactis. RNAcentral describes it as "bacterial SSU rRNA". It matches the Rfam family "Bacterial small subunit ribosomal RNA", at positions 28 to 467 of the family's 1533-position model. The record is from RNAcentral. Lineage: Bacteria; Bacillati; Bacillota; Bacilli; Lactobacillales; Streptococcaceae.
GACGAACGCUGGCGGCGUGCCUAAUACAUGCAAGUUGAGCGCUGAAGGUUGGUACUUGUACCAACUGGAUGAGCAGCGAACGGGUAGUAACGCGUGGGGAAUCUGCCUUUGAGCGGGGGACAACAUUUGGAAACGAAUGCUAAUACCGCAUAAAAACUUUAAACACAAGUUUUAAGUUUGAAAGAUGCAAUUGCAUCACUCAAAGAUGAUCCCGCGUUGUAUUAGUUAGUUGGUGAGGUAAAGGCUCACCAAGGCGAUGAUACAUAGCCGACCUGAGAGGGUGAUCGGCCACAUUGGGACUGAGACACGGCCCAAACUCCUACGGGAGGCAGCAGUAGGGAAUCUUCGGCAAUGGACGAAAGUCUGACCGAGCAACGCCGCGUGAGUGAAGAAGGUUUUCGGAUCGUAAAACUCUGUUGGUAGAGAAGAACGUUGGUGAGAGUGGAAAGCUCA